RNAcentral lists this ribosomal RNA (559 nucleotides) under uncultured bacterium. RNAcentral describes it as "partial 16S ribosomal RNA". It matches the Rfam family "Bacterial small subunit ribosomal RNA", at positions 355 to 905 of the family's 1533-position model. The record is from RNAcentral.
UGGGGAAUAUUGGACAAUGGGCGCAAGCCUGAUCCAGCCAUACCGCGUGGGUGAAGAAGGCCUUCGGGUUGUAAAGCCCUUUUGUUGGGAAAGAAAUCCAGCUGGUUAAUACCCGGUUGGGAUGACGGUACCCAAAGAAUAAGCACCGGCUAACUUCGUGCCAGCAGCCGCGGUAAUACGAAGGGUGCAAGCGUUACUCGGAAUUACUGGGCGUAAAGCGUGCGUAGGUGGUCGUUUAAGUCUGUUGUGAAAGCCCUGGGCUCAACCUGGGAACUGCAGUGGAAACUGGACGACUAGAGUGUGGUAGAGGGUAGCGGAAUUCCUGGUGUAGCAGUGAAAUGCGUAGAGAUCAGGAGGAACAUCCAUGGCGAAGGCAGCUACCUGGACCAACACUGACACUGAGGCACGAAAGCGUGGGGAGCAAACAGGAUUAGAUACCCUGGUAGUCCACGCCCUAAACGAUGCGAACUGGAUGUUGGGUGCAAUUUGGCACGCAGUAUCGAAGCUAACGCGUUAAGUUCGCCGCCUGGGGAGUACGGUCGCAAGACUGAAACUCAAA